Molecule: ribosomal RNA, 582 nt
Filed under: Bacillus cereus
Lineage: Bacteria; Bacillati; Bacillota; Bacilli; Caryophanales; Bacillaceae
Description: bacterial SSU rRNA
Rfam family: Bacterial small subunit ribosomal RNA
Source: RNAcentral
UCCGGGACCCGGGGCUAAUACCGGAAACAUUUUGAACCUGAUGGUUCUAAAUUGAAGGGCGGCUUCGGGUGUCUCUUAUGGAUGGACCCGCGUCUGAUUACCUAGUUGGUGAGGUAACGGCUCACCAAGGCAACGAUGCGUAGCCGACCUGAGAGGGUGAUCGGCCACACUGGGACUGAGACACGGCCCAGACUCCUACUGGAGGCAGCACCAGGGAAUCUUCCGCUUGGACGAAAGUCUGACGGAGCUACGCCGCGUGAGUGAUGAAGGCUUUCUGGUCGUAAAACUCUGUUGUUAGGGAAGAACAAGUGCUCCCUGAAGGAUCUGGCCCCUUGAAGGUACCUACCCUGAAAGCCAUGGCUCGCUACGUGCCACCUGAACGCGGUAAUACGUAGGUGGCAAGCGUUAUCCGGAAUUAUUGGGCGUAAAGCGCGCGCAGGUGGUUUUCUUAAGUCUGAUGUGAAAGCCCACGGCUCAACCGUGGAGGGUCAUUGUAAACUGGGAGACUUGAGUGCAGAAGAGGAAGGGGAAUUCCAUGUGUACCGGUGAAAUGCGUAGAAAUUUGAAGGAACUCCAUUGCCG